RNAcentral lists this ribosomal RNA (253 nucleotides) under uncultured bacterium. Its description in RNAcentral is "partial 16S ribosomal RNA". It matches the Rfam family "Bacterial small subunit ribosomal RNA", at positions 524 to 776 of the family's 1533-position model. The record is from RNAcentral.
UACGUAGGGGGCAAGCGUUGUCCGGAAUCAUUGGGCGUAAAGAGCGUGUAGGCGGUCCGGUCAGUCGGUUGUGAAAGUCAAGGGCUCAACCCUUGAAUGCCGGCCGAUACUGCCGGGCUAGAGUCCGGAAGAGGUGAGUGGAACUCCUGGUGUAGCGGUGAAAUGCGCAGAUAUCAGGAAGAACACCAAUGGCGAAGGCAGCUCACUGGGACGGUACUGACGCUGAGGCGCGAAAGCGUGGGGAGCAAACAGG